Non-coding RNA from Odocoileus virginianus texanus, 523 nucleotides. The record is from RefSeq and is a predicted model, not a curated record. NCBI's taxonomy places the organism in Eukaryota, Metazoa, Chordata, Mammalia, Artiodactyla, Cervidae.
GUGAGGAUACAGUGAGAAGACAGCCAUCUGCAAAUCAUGGAGCACGUCCGCAUCAGACAGAGCAUCUGCUGAUCUUGGACUUCCCCACCUUCAGAACUCCUGGGCUAGCCUCCUGGAUGAUAACACCACGUGGUCCAGUCAUCCCAGUCCACAGCUCACCAACCAUCCUAAACCAGCCAGCUGCCAGCCAAACCAGCAACUGACUGCAGAGACCUCCGUGGGCUCAUCAAGGAAAAACUGGUAGAGUCAACCACAAAUGAUAUGAUUUCACAAAUCCAUGAAAACUAAAGAGAACAUCCAUUAAGAAAAAGAAGAGCAAAUCAAAGUUGAAGCUAACUUGAAUUCUGAAUUCUCAGCGUCUCACAGGCAACUCUGUCUUCUUGAUUUAUUUAGUUUCCCAGUGGAACUGUGCCCAGUCGUGCAUUUUAGGAGUGUGUCAGGAAAAAAAAAAAGGUGAAGUCAUAGAUUCUUGGCAUCUCAGUGUUGGAUGCAGCCAGACUCCAAGAAAAUGAACUAUUAAUCA